RNAcentral lists this ribosomal RNA (254 nucleotides) under uncultured bacterium. RNAcentral describes it as "partial 16S ribosomal RNA". It matches the Rfam family "Bacterial small subunit ribosomal RNA", at positions 524 to 776 of the family's 1533-position model. The record is from RNAcentral.
UACGUAGGGGGCGAGCGUUGUCCGGAUUUAUUGGGCGUAAAGAGCUCGUAGGCGGCUUGGCAAGUCGGGUGUGAAACCUCCAGCUCAACCUGGAGACGCCACUCGAUACUGCCAUGGCUAGAGUCCGGUAGGGGACCACGGAAUUCCUGGUGUAGCGGUGAAAUGCGCAGAUAUCAGGAGGAACACCGGUGGCGAAGGCGGUGGUCUGGGGCCGGCACUGACGCUGAGGAGCGAAAGCGUGGGUAGCAAACAGG